UAUCAAAGCAAAAGGAUCACGGCUCCUCUUACAAAUCAGUGAACUAUUCUAAUUCUGGACUCUUAUGGCCUAGAUAUGCCAAGCAGUCGCAAUUGCUGUUUUAGUCAAACUAAAAAAAUAUUAACUUUGCAGUGUAAGCAGACCCUUGAGCAAGAGAGCAACAUGACUGCUAGCUUCCCUGUAAGUUCAGUAUGUUUCUUAACUGAAAAUAUCAUUCUGUUAUCAAGUCAUUCUCAAUGUGUGCUGUUUCAUUCUGGUGCCUGUAGGCUGCAUUACAGGAGAUGGAUACGAAGUCCUCGGAGGAGGAAUACAAAGCUCUACAAGGUGAUGGAGCUGGAGAUGUGUAUUUCCAGUCUCUUGAAGAACGAAUCAUUUAUAUGAAGGUGUUCUGCCGAUACUUUUCAGUUUGGUUGCUCCAUGAUUAAUGCUAAUUGAUCUCUCUCUCUUUUUUCUUCUCAUGGAGAAAUACAUAUACGUUACUUAGAAUAAUGCCAUGUGCAGUCUUAAGAAGCUAAACAUCUUUCUCUGUAGUGAGUUUCUGAACUAGGCAGGAUACCAUGGUCCAUGGGUGCAAGAUAACUCAUAUAUGGAUUACCACGGGUCCAGUGCGUUUAAAGUAUGUAUAUGCUUAUAUGCGUGGCUGCUGUUGGUACAACUUGACAACUCCAUAUAGAGGUAUUAAACAUUGAGAAUCACAACAUUUACCAAUGAAAUGACUAACCAACAAGGAACAAGUAUAAGAAGAAAAGCUAAGUAUUCUUUCCAUUUGCUUCUUCCACCAUUUGCAUCUUUUGUAGUUAGCUUCAGAAACCAAAAAUACAAAAAUAGAAUAAGGCCUCGCUUUUUAUAAUUUCAUUUAUUUUUGAAUGCUAAUUAUAUCAAAGGCAUGCCUCCAAGAGGGUGAGAAGCUAGAUGAUGCUAUUUAUAAACGUUUUGCUCUCCACUGAGUUUAUACAGAUUCUAUAAGAGAAGAGAAAGAUCAGUUCGUCUUCUUGUAUGAUCGUCUCUCUCGGCAGUUUUAGGUUACAACUUACAAGCGUGUGUUUUAAUGUACAUGGUGUGGGCUACACAGAUUUUCUUUGACGUGAUGCAACUCUGUUUGCUUACCCUUUUUCUUAAACUACAAACCGAAACACGUUUCAUGCAACAUUGGAACAGGUUGAUUCUUUAUUUGUUCACACAGUACAUAGUGCCACCCGCCGCUAACUACAGUUUGUACAGAUUUUGCAGGGAUGUAUAUAUAUGGUCGUGUUUCACUGGGAUCCUCAACUGUUCCAGUUCGUAUUUAGCAGGAUCACAUGUUGACCAAUGACUCAAAUUAAUUUUCUCACUGAUCCAGUUAACUCAAGAACUUGUGACCCAGUUCUAGGACAACUGUGGACUAAGGUACGCUAGCUGCUUGCAUCUUUCAGAGGAUGUAAUUAGAGCCAACUAUAUGUGUGUUUUAUCCUCUUAGAACUGUUAGUAUCCACUUAGGGGAGAAGUGCAAGCAGAAGCAGAUUUCAAUUUGAAUAAGUGUGCUAGAAAGUGUGUUGGCAAACAUUUGGUGCACUGUGAUCUAAAGGAACAUUGUAUAGGUUGUUACAAAUCCACCAUAAACAGCUUAGCGAUUCAUGGACGACUUCCGCAAGCACACUAGAUGCCUGAGACCAGAUAAAAUUAUCAUUUUUAGAUUGGUGGUAGUCCCCCUGGGAUUAUUGUGCGCAUUGCCAAUUGGUGGUGGUCUUUGUUUUCAAGCAGAGUGUUGCUUUGUAGACAUUACUGACUCUAAUUUACUUUGGGAUCCUGGUUUUCGCGUCUUGACUUUAGGGAUGGAGGUUGAUUUAUCAGCGGUUACAGGCAUGCAUGGUUUAUGGUGGCAAGCAUUAUAUAUCAUUGAAGACUUUCCAUUUGUUCAAGUUCCUGAUAUGCUAAUCGGUAACCUUUAGGUAUUCAUAUAUAAAAAGUGUCACCAUACAAGCAAAUUACAUUUAUGUGAUGAUCUUUGAGUUUGAUUCGUGUGUUUUAUUUUGUAGAUUUGUUUGGAGAGUUAUGUCCAUCCAAGCACCAUGCUUAUGUGGCCAGUGAGUUUGCAUUUGUGUAGAAAAUUAUUGCUACUAAAAGAAAUGAAAUUGUUUUCUUCAUCCUUGUUUCAAACCAACUAAUAAACUAGAUGCUUGGAAGACUCUUUUCACUAUAUAGUUCAUGUAUGCACCUCUACUUGAUAAUCAUAAAUAGUUUGAUCACACCAUUCUUUCAAAAAAAAAGCAAUCUACUAAAAACAACCAGCAGAUGAUGUAUCUGAAGGCAUUUCGUUUCAGGUGAUAUGUUCGUGACUUAAUUUUGUGGCCUACACAACUAAUGUAGAGGUUAUGUAAGUGUAGAACAGUGAUUUAGGAUAUGAUGUUUUUUAAAUACCUUUCGCGAAUGUUUGUUUGAACUCCGUUCCGAGACCACAUACUUUAGGAAAAUUUUCUUAUGUUUCAACCAAAUAAGCUCUCAAAGGAUUAGCAAGCACAUGGACCAUUCCGAUUAAACUAUUUGUUCUAGGUCACAAUUGAAGUAUUGAUAUGUUCUGCCCAACGUUCAUUACACCGAGUCAUGUAUUUUUUUUUCUGAACAUACAUUAUAUUUUCUAGAAAUUCCUCCUCUGUUAGAGAAACAUAUAAAUUCUUCUGUCUUUUUAUUACAUGAUACAACCUAAGGAAAUUGGGACGACUGAUUUAUGUGGGAAACUGAUGGGCUAAAGCUCAAAAGCUCACACCUGGAUGUUUUUUUGUCACACCUUCAAAAUCGUGUAGAAGAAGCGCUUACAAAAAGAAGAAAGAGACCUGGUUUGCCUUCCUUGCUGGCGUCCUUGUCAUCUCCAACCCGCCCACGGGUAUUGCAACUCCUUCCCAUCUGGUUUCCUCCUAUGAGAUAUUUUCUUCACUUGAGCUUUAGAAACAUUUAUUUAAGUGGUUACUGGUUGCUCCAGAAAUUUGAUAUUAAUAUGAUUUUGAUAUAGCCAUGAUGGCUCCUGUGUAGUUGUUUGGUUUGGUAUUUGAUUGUAAACUCUGGUUUGGUAUUUUUAGUCGCAUGUUUCAGUGGAAGAAAAAAAAAUAGUGUCAAAGUAGAAUGCACAUCGUUGUGGCAUAGUCGACUAUGUCGUAUGAGAAGAUUUGAUCAGAUGGUCCUUUUUUAUUCUUUCUGAUUUUCUAUAAAUAGUUGGGUUUUGGAUACAAAUAUAAUUUUAGUAAUCCCAUGAGUUUUUGUCAACGUGUUCAUUUCUUUUCUGCGUUUCCAGGCAUGGAAGCACAUUUUUCAGUGCUUUUUUGUUUAGCUCCAUCCUAUUUCUUACCACAUGCUAUGUGUUGAUUAAUCCUAUAUGUUUCUUGUGCAGGGUGCUCAAGGGGUUCGGCCAAGUCGGAUGCCAGGCGGUGCGUGCAGCUGAGGAGCACUGGCAGCAGGCGCUUGAUGCGGCGCUCCCCGCGUCGCCGCUGCUCAUUCGCGGCUCCUCCUCCUCCCCAACGGAUCGCGACUGAACCUUCCUUGUGCCAGCACCUCGUGGCCAUGAAGGGUGGCUGAGCCAUCAGGAGCGGCGGCGGCGGCCUGCUGCGGAUGCUGCUGCGGCUCCCUCCUCUUCCUCGUCGGCUUCUACCUGCUUUGUGCCGACGCCAUGUACAUCGUGUCAUCCCGGUGCUUCUGCUUUCCCGGGUCGCAACUCUUUGGUGUGCUCGACAAGGUGCGUCUUCUCCCAGUUUCUCUCUCUAAUCCCCAGUGCUCACAUCUGGUCUGCUCUUCCAUGUGUACUUGCAUGUGGCAUUUUUUGGUAUCUUCAGGUUGGGUGCCCAACAUGACCAUGAUAGCUAGGUUGUUCCCCAUGGUGUAUGUGUAUGUUCUUCUUGCUGCGUGCAUACCUAAUCUUCCGUCUUCUUUGUUUUGUUGGUUGGCUUUGCAGGCCAGGACUCACAUUCUGGAGAGCUCCUUGGUCAGUCCAUCACGAGGUAUGUAACUUCACUAAGAUCAUGCAUGGUCCUUAUAAGCUAGGGAUUACACUUCUUCAUAUUAACUGUAUUCGAGCCAUGAGACACCACUUUUGUUGUUAGAAUGAUGCAAUGCAAUGAUGAUUCUGACAUAUGGAUUUCGUAUGAAGGCUUUUCCGUAAACAAAUGAACACUGUAAAUUUAGUUAAUGUGUUUGUAGAUGAUCUUAUUGGCUUGCCACGGUGUAAUAGCAGAUAACACCGACCCAAUUUCAGUAAGUUGUAGUGCAGUUGCUUGGUUUGCUGCUGAUUUGCUGCCUACUACAAGGCGAUCGACAACCUUAAGGCCAUUUCAGGUUAUGUUAAGGAGGGUUCGCAGUGAAAUGUAUGAUGGCCUGAUAUUUAAUUUUAUCAUAUCUUGGAUAAACCAUCAGUAUAAUCUUAUGUGCCAUAAAUUAUGUUUUGUAUUUUCUCUACUAAUAAGGUUGCGUCUACAAGUUUGUGUACAACAUUCUAAUUAGUUAGAAUUUCCUUGGAUUUCAUCGCGUCUCUUAUAGCUCCAACAUUUUUUUCCAGCCCAUGGAAGUUUUAGACAAGUUCUUCUCUACAAUUACAGAACCGGCAGCUACCGGAUUCCUUUUGUGCUGCUGGAAAGGAGGCACAUUGUUCCCAUGCUCGUGCUCUAUGGGUAGAAGCUGCAAAUUCUGGAGGUCUUUUUCUAUGGUUCAUGUCUAUCAUAAUCGCAUCCUUCUUUUACGGUUUACAUAGACAUCUGAUGUUCGCCUUUUCUUAUAUCAGGUAUCAGACGAGGGUAUUCGAAGAAGACACCAUGAAUGGCAGCAGACUCUACCGCUUCCAUUACAAUGGUAUUCAAAAAAGAUACCACCUUGUGGCCUUUCCUGUUUCCUGUGACUACGACUUCCAACUCUUUAACUGGGAUGGUGUCAAAAGAAAUUCUGUAACUGGGACACAAUAAAAUAAAUUGGUACAACUAUGUGGAUUCCUUGGUAAGCUCAUGAUUCAUCUGGCUAAGCAGUCUUAGUAGACCGCCAAUGUUGUGUUAUUAAGAUGCAGGUUUCAAUAACCUUCAUGUUUGCGGCUAAAAUAAUGUAGUUAUCUCGGUAGUCUAGGUAGAUUGAAAUAAUUGUUUAUCCUUGAAGCAAAUCAACUAAACAACUGCCAGUAGAUGAUGAGGUGCCUUCUGCAAACAAAAAAGCUAAGCUCUAAGCGAGUAUUUUUAGGCGACCUAUCUUUUUCGGUGAUUUGUUUAAUCCUUCCUCUGCUCAAUUGAUGUGAAGCACAAACCUUGCUCUGCUAAAUUGAUGUGAACCACAAUCCUUGCUCUGCUCAAUUGAUCUUCCCAGCAAAUCAAUGAACAUGUGCCCACAGGGACACAGUCAAAGGUGCGCAUGUCAACUUAAUGGUUUUCAUCCAUAGUGCUUUGCCAUUAUUUUUAUUUUUAUUGUUUUUCUCAUUUGCCACUGUUGCCCAUUCUUUCUAGGACCAGUAUAUACAUCAUGAUUUUCUUUUUAUGACAUUGUUAUUUAUACUUGAAGCAAGGUAUCUGAAGACCUGAUGGGAAAUGAGGAGGUGCCCUUUGCAACUAAAAAGACUAAGUUGGAGACCAAGUGCCUUUAGGCAACGCGCCCUUUUGGUUCGUUUGUUCGGUACUUUUUUUUGCUAAUUUACUGCUCCCUGUGGUAUAUAUGUUUUGAUUUUUGUUUGGAAUUCUAUUUCUGCAGGAUUGUAGCGUAUUAGUUGCGGAUGUGCAGAAAAUGCUGAUUUAGCGGAUGGUUGCCUUUUCCAUCUGGGAUCUCUUUUGUUGCGACCUGUCGCUUAUAAUAGAGUGAUCUGUUUUACUGAUCCUGGCCAAGUGGAAUCUACUGUCUGUCAAUGUCCAAAUGCUGCAGUUAGUGUGACAUGGAUCUUGACUAAUGUAUCCCAUCAGUUUAGCCGUGUGUUGCUAGCUGAUGUGAAAGUAUGUGUGAUUACCAUACUUAUUAUGAUUAUGGAUGUUGCUACAUGUUUCAUU
RNAcentral lists this long non-coding RNA (5975 nucleotides) under Triticum aestivum (bread wheat). RNAcentral describes it as "long non-coding RNA (TAES_LNC006821)". Lineage: Eukaryota; Viridiplantae; Streptophyta; Magnoliopsida; Poales; Poaceae. The record is from RNAcentral.